Molecule: ribosomal RNA, 246 nt
Filed under: uncultured bacterium
Lineage: Bacteria
Description: partial 16S ribosomal RNA
Rfam family: Bacterial small subunit ribosomal RNA
Source: RNAcentral
UAACACGUGGGUAACCUGCCUUAUAGUGGGGGAUAGCCUUUCGAAAGGAAGAUUAAUACCGCAUAAGAUUGUAGUAUCGCAUGAUAUAGCAAUUAAAGGAGCAAUUCGCUAUAAGAUGGACCCGCGUCGCAUUAGCUAGUUGGUGAGGUAAUGGCUCACCAAGGCGACGACGCGUAGCCGACCUGAGAGGGUGAUCGGCCACAUUGGGACUGAGACACGGCCCAGACUCCUACGGGAGGCAGCAUG